UACAGAGGGUGCAAGCGUUAAUCGGAAUUACUGGGCGUAAAGCGCACGCAGGCGGUUGGUUAAGUCAAAUGUGAAAGCCCCGGGCUCAACCUGGGAAUUGCAUUUGAAACUGGGGAACUAGAGUGUGUGAGAGGGGGGUAGAAUUCCAAGUGUAGCGGUGAAAUGCGUAGAGAUUUGGAGGAAUACCAGUGGCGAAGGCGGCCCCCUGGCACAACACUGACGCUCAGGUGCGAAAGCGUGGGGAGCAAACAGG
Molecule: ribosomal RNA, 253 nt
Filed under: uncultured bacterium
Lineage: Bacteria
Description: partial 16S ribosomal RNA
Rfam family: Bacterial small subunit ribosomal RNA
Source: RNAcentral